GGUACGACGCUGUAAUAGAUGCGCUAAAGACUUCAUUUGAUUUUUCAUUAUUUGCGGAUAUUAAAUUCUCAUUAUUUAAUUUAGCCACAUUAUUUUUGUUCAUUUGGUUCAUUAUACCCUAUCUAUAUCUGCCUGAAUAUAUGAAAAUUCACGGUUACGAAGCAGCAGACUCCGCCCAUUUGAUUUCGAUUAUUGGCAUUGCGCAAACCAUUGGCAUGAUUUUUCUGGGUUAUAUCGGAGAUCGUCCGUGGCUGAAUGUGAAUAUUUGUUAUUCAGUGUGUAUGGCUGUUUGUGGCAUUUGGAA
Molecule: long non-coding RNA, 304 nt
Organism: Ceratitis capitata (Mediterranean fruit fly)
Lineage: Eukaryota; Metazoa; Arthropoda; Insecta; Diptera; Tephritidae
Exons: 3
Source: RefSeq, a predicted model, not a curated record